UGGAUUAGGCAUGCAAGUCGCGCGGGUGUAGCAAUACAUCAGCGGCGUAAGGGACAGGAGUACGUAGACAACCUACCCUCGGGACCUGAAUGGCUGCGGGAAACUGCAGGUAAUGCGGGAUAACGUCUCCGGACCAAAGGUGUGAGUCCGCCGGAGGAUGGGUCUGUGUCCUAUUAGCUAGUUGGUGAGGUAACGGCUCACCAAGGCAAUGAUGGGUAGCAGGUGUGAGAGCACGACCUGCGUCACUGGGACUGAGACACUGCCCAGACACCUACGGGUGGCUGCAGUCGAGAAUCUUCGGCAAUGGGCGAAAGCCUGACCGAGCGAUGCCGCGUGCGGGAUGACGGCCUUCGGGUUAUAAACCGCUGUCAGUGGGACUGAAAUCCCGGGGGGUUCUCCCCUCGGGUUGACAGGACUUCAGAGGAAGUACGGGCUAAGUACGUGCCAGCAGCCGCGGUAG
This 460-nucleotide ribosomal RNA is filed under the name uncultured bacterium. RNAcentral's name for it is "bacterial SSU rRNA". It matches the Rfam family "Bacterial small subunit ribosomal RNA", at positions 45 to 523 of the family's 1533-position model. The record is from RNAcentral.